GGUUGCUACAAUUACUUUUCUAAUUACUGAAGUUAGUUCUGAAGAGUACAGUUAACUGAAGAGUUGUGCUUCAUUCACCUUCAGCUUCUGACUAAAUGGGCAUUUGGAGUUAAUGGCCGUGCACAUAGGAAACAAAUUAUUCUGGUACACAAGAGCUGCUAGAUGCUGAAAGCUCUUGAUUCUUCUGUCGCAGUUUCCCAGACACAGUAUGUCUGCUACCUGUCAAGCUUCUGAUAGAAGAUUUUCUUGGAAUAUGUCUGCAAAAGCUGCAGUGGAGCUGUAAAAACAGGCUGGAUUGCUUUUAGGUGACAAUUCCAUUGGGGCUGGGAGAUGGACAGUUGUUCACCUGGACUGAUGGACUGAAAAGGAAGGAUUGGCAUGAUUAUG
This 387-nucleotide long non-coding RNA is filed under the name Pavo cristatus (Indian peafowl). Its description in RNAcentral is "lncRNA (ENSPSTG00000017723.1)". The record is from RNAcentral. Lineage: Eukaryota; Metazoa; Chordata; Aves; Galliformes; Phasianidae.